GCUAGGCAACACGCAUGCAUGCCACAACCACCAACAUGAUUUCUUUGAAAAACAUCAACAUUAUUAGUUAACUUGAGCAUAUAUACUGGCAAGUGCUUCACCAAUGACGACGGUACAUCACCUACAAAUGACCAACUUGCAGUGCAUCCAUCUCCUUUUCAAUGUUCGGUGAGGAUAAACUGACUACACCAUUUAUUUUUUAUUCAAUGCAUGCAUGGUCGCCGGUACCAAUCUCAUGAAGAAGUUUUUAGAAUUACACUUAGCCUAGCAAAUCAAUACCAAUUAUCCAAAGGUAGAACGAAAUAAACAAACAACUCCUCUUACCUCUAGAUCUUCAAUACUUGAGCACUUGCAGCUUCCCAUUUCCUUGAGACCUUGACAAUACUAUAGUGACAAAACCAAGUACAGCAAUAAUUGGCAGAAAUGUAUCUGUACUACAGGAUUUGAAAGCAGGAGCCCAUGUAUCAUUUGUAACAACAGUACGUUAACAGUAAUUCACUCCAAGAGGGU
Molecule: long non-coding RNA, 510 nt
Organism: Ipomoea nil (Japanese morning glory)
Lineage: Eukaryota; Viridiplantae; Streptophyta; Magnoliopsida; Solanales; Convolvulaceae
Exons: 3
Source: RefSeq, a predicted model, not a curated record